Molecule: ribosomal RNA, 450 nt
Filed under: uncultured bacterium
Lineage: Bacteria
Description: partial 16S ribosomal RNA
Rfam family: Bacterial small subunit ribosomal RNA
Source: RNAcentral
GUGGGGAAUCUUCCGCAAUGGACGAAAGUCUGACGGAGCAACGCCGCGUGAGUGAUGAAGGUCUUCGGAUUGUAAAGCUCUGUUAAUCGGGACGAAAGAGCCUAGUGUGAAUAAUGCUAGGAAGUGACGGUACCGGAAUAGAAAGCCACGGCUAACUACGUGCCAGCAGCCGCGGUAAUACGUAGGUGGCAAGCGUCGUCCGGAAUUAUUGGGCGUAAAGCGCGCGCAGGCGGAUCUGCCAGUCUGUCUUAAAAGUUCGGGGCUUAACCCCGUGAUGGGAUGGAAACUACAGAUCUAGAGUAUCGGAGAGGAAAGUGGAAUUCCUAGUGUAGCAGUGAAAUGCGUAGAUAUUAGGAAGAACACCAGUGGCGAAGGCGACUUUCUGGACGAAAACUGACGCUGAGGCGCGAAAGCCAGGGGAGCGAACGGGAUUAGAUAACCUUGUAGUCC